This 489-nucleotide long non-coding RNA is filed under the name Coturnix japonica (Japanese quail). Its description in RNAcentral is "lncRNA (ENSCJPG00005001679.1)". Lineage: Eukaryota; Metazoa; Chordata; Aves; Galliformes; Phasianidae. The record is from RNAcentral.
AUGGUGAAAUCCUCCCUGUCCAACAUCUUGUUCAUGUCGGGGAGGUUCCCCCUGUAAUUGAGGGGGGGUCCCAUUAAAGGCUGCCCCAUAAGUGCCCCCNUCUCUAUGGGGCAGGGCUUGCUAUGGGGCAGGGCUCUCUAUGGGUCAGGGUCUCUAUGGGGCAGGGCUCUCUGUGGGGCAGGGCUCUCUGUGGGGCAGGGCUCUCUGUGGGGCAGGGCUCUCUAUGGGGCAGGGCUUGCUAUGGGGCAGGGCUCGCUGUGGGGCAGGGCUCACUAUGGGGCAGGUCUCUCUAUGGGUAAGGUCUCUCUAUGGGGCAGGUUUUGCUGUGGGUCAGGUCUCUCUAUGGGGCAGGUCUCUCUAUGGGGCAGGUCUCUCUAUGGGUCAGGUCUCUCUAUGGGUCAGGGUCUCUAUGGGUCAGGGCUCGCUAUGGGUCAGGUCUCUCUAUGGGGCAGGGCUCUCUAUGGGUCAGGAUCUCUAUGGAUCAGGUCU